Molecule: small nuclear RNA, 107 nt
Organism: Lontra canadensis (Northern American river otter)
Lineage: Eukaryota; Metazoa; Chordata; Mammalia; Carnivora; Mustelidae
Source: RefSeq, a predicted model, not a curated record
GUGCUUGCUUGGGCAGCACAUAUACUAAAAUCGGAAUGAUACAGAGAAGAUUAGCACAGCCCCUGUGCAAGGACAACAUGCAGAUCUGUGAGGCGUUCAAUACAGAA